Molecule: transfer RNA, 74 nt
Filed under: Schlesneria paludicola
Lineage: Bacteria; Pseudomonadati; Planctomycetota; Planctomycetia; Planctomycetales; Planctomycetaceae
Description: tRNA-Val
Rfam family: tRNA
About the family: Transfer RNA (tRNA) molecules are approximately 80 nucleotides in length. Their secondary structure includes four short double-helical elements and three loops (D, anti-codon, and T loops).
Source: RNAcentral
GGGCGAUUAGCUCAGUUGGUUAGAGCGCCAUCCUUACAAGGUGGAUGUCACAGGUUCGAGUCCUGUAUCGCCCA